GACGAACGCUGGCGGCGUGCCUAAUACAUGCAAGUAGAACGCUGAAGAGAGGAGCUUGCUCUUCUUUGAUGAGUUGCGAACGGGUGAGUAACGCGUAGGUAACCUGCCUUGUAGCGGGGGAUAACUAUUGGAAACGAUAGCUAAUACCGCAUAACAAUGGAUUACACAUGUCAUUUAUUUGAAAGGGGCAAUUGCUCCACUACAAGAUGGACCUGCGUUGUAUUAGCUAGUAGGUGAGGUAAUGGCUCACCUAGGCGACGAUACAUAGCCGACCUGAGAGGGUGAUCGGCCAGCCUGGGACUGAGACACGGCCCAGACUCAUACGGGAGGGAGCAGUAGGGCAUCUUCGGCAAUGGGGGCAACACUGACCGAGCAAGGCCGCGUGAGUGAAGAAGGUUUUCGGAUCGUAAAGCUCUGUUGUAAGUCAAGAACGGGUGUGAGAGUGGAAAGUUCACACUGUGACGGUAGCUUACCAGAAAGGGACGGCUAACUACGUG
RNAcentral lists this ribosomal RNA (497 nucleotides) under uncultured bacterium. RNAcentral's name for it is "partial 16S ribosomal RNA". It matches the Rfam family "Bacterial small subunit ribosomal RNA", at positions 28 to 507 of the family's 1533-position model. The record is from RNAcentral.